This 64-nucleotide non-coding RNA is filed under the name Nocardiopsis sp. The record is from RNAcentral. Lineage: Bacteria; Bacillati; Actinomycetota; Actinomycetes; Streptosporangiales; Nocardiopsidaceae. RNAcentral also lists the same sequence under 1 other name.
GGCGGGCCGGCCCCCAGCACCCCGGACGAGGUGCGCCGUACCCGGAACGACAAGACGGCGCGGA